RNAcentral lists this long non-coding RNA (1010 nucleotides) under Phascolarctos cinereus (koala). RNAcentral's name for it is "lncRNA (ENSPCIG00000016109.2)". Lineage: Eukaryota; Metazoa; Chordata; Mammalia; Diprotodontia; Phascolarctidae. The record is from RNAcentral.
CUGGGCAGAGAGCCCAGCCUGCCCGUCCGCCUGCCUGAGUUGGCUCAGCCCAGCUGACCAUGCAGGAGGCCCGGGGCCUUGGAGACAGCUUGAGUCAUCUCCUUGCCAGCAGCUCAGAGUCUGAGAAGGAGCCUUGUGAUGGAGAGAAACCAUGGCAACUAAGGACUGGUCACACACUAUUGCUACCUGGGUGAGCAGAGGACCUCCAGCCCCUGGCAAAUCUGGAGGUCACACAGCUGGCAGACAUCUGUGCCCUGGGGCAUGUUCCAUUUCUCCUCACUUUGCCAACCUCAGCCUGCUGCUGCUGCUACUGCUGGUGGUUGUGGUAGUGGGUAAACCCAGCCCAGGUGGUGAAGACUUACCCCAGUGUGAGAUUCCUCUGCCAUAGAGGAUAUGGCUAGCAGAAAUAAUUGCAGCUCCCUGACUAUCCUCAGCGUUAGGGAUGGCACCUGCUGGUAAGUACUCCCUUUGCCCAGUAAAUGCCCAGUCAGAAGACCCUCUCUGUGGCUAGAACUGGCACCUCUAUCCCUGGCUCCCUCCUUUUCCAGGUGACAUAAUCCCAUUGCAUGGGAGGGUUCUAUAUAUUGGGGUGCAUAUGUUUGGUUGGUAAUAUUCCACUCCUGGUUAAAGCUUGCAAAUAAGAUAAAGAAGGUAGCUUACCAACACCAUCAUACAGGCAUUAAGGUGGCACAGAAGAAGAGAGAAGGAACCCCAGGGAUGCUAACUCCUGUUGCCUCUGUGCCAGGGGAAAGAGAGAUGGCCAAGGGUGAUUGUGGCUUCUGGAUUCAUGUCCAUAAGCUCAUAGAAUGUCAAGGAAUGGAAGACAUCAUCUGAGUGAACUAAUUUUACAGAUGGGGAAACUGAGAUUCAGAGAAGGGAAGUAGGGACUAAGAUUAGAGCACAAGUCUUCUUCCUUCCAGUACAGAAGUUUUUUCACUACAUCCUGCUGGGACAGCUCGUAGUCAUCAAAAUCAUGACAUCAGGAAUGCCUAUCUUUAGCCCCCCUUUAC